GGUUAAGCGACUAAGCGUACACGGUGGAUGCCCUGGCAGUCAGAGGCGAUGAAGGACGUGCUAAUCUGCGAAAAGCGCCGGCGAGGUGAUAUGAACCUUUGACCCGGCGAUGUCCGAAUGGGGAAACCCAGUGCAAUUCGUUGCACUAUCGUUAACUGAAUACAUAGGUUAACGAGGCGAACCGGGG
RNAcentral lists this ribosomal RNA (187 nucleotides) under Enterobacter hormaechei subsp. hoffmannii. RNAcentral describes it as "partial 23S ribosomal RNA". It matches the Rfam family "Bacterial large subunit ribosomal RNA", at positions 1 to 189 of the family's 2925-position model. Lineage: Bacteria; Pseudomonadati; Pseudomonadota; Gammaproteobacteria; Enterobacterales; Enterobacteriaceae. RNAcentral also lists the same sequence under 1 other name. The record is from RNAcentral.